CGCGUGUGUGAAGAAGGCCUUCGGGUUGUAAAGCACUUUUGUCCGGAAAGAAAAGCUUAGGGUUAAUAACCAUGAGUCAUGACGGUACCGGAAGAAUAAGCACCGGCUAAUUUCGUGCCAGCAGCCGCGGUAAUACGAAGGGUGCAAGCGUUACUCGGAAUUACUGGGCGUAAAGCGUGCGUAGGUGGUUUGUUAAGUCUGAUGUGAAAGCCCUGGGCUCAACCUGGGAAUGGCAUUGGAAACGGGCUUACUAGAGUGCGGUAGAGGGUAGCGGAAUUCCCGGUGUAGCAGUGAAAUGCGUAGAUAUCGGGAGGAACAUCCGUGGCGAAGGCGGCUACCUGGACCAGCACGGACACUGAGGCACGAAAGCGUGGGGAGCAAACAGGAUUAGAUACCCUGGUAGUCCACGCCGGAAGCGAUGCGAUCUAAUGUUGGGGGCAACUUGGCCCUCAGUAUCGAAGCUAACGCGU
Molecule: ribosomal RNA, 470 nt
Filed under: uncultured bacterium
Lineage: Bacteria
Description: bacterial SSU rRNA
Rfam family: Bacterial small subunit ribosomal RNA
Source: RNAcentral